Long non-coding RNA from Alosa sapidissima (American shad), 372 nucleotides. RefSeq lists it as uncharacterized. NCBI's taxonomy places the organism in Eukaryota, Metazoa, Chordata, Actinopteri, Clupeiformes, Clupeidae. The record is from RefSeq and is a predicted model, not a curated record. The transcript has 3 exons.
CAGGAAUGUAGCCUCGCCUUACCACAGCCCACUUGGAAGAGGGGAAUAUUUGCUCAGGGAAAAAGGGAAGUUCUUGAAAGGAUCUGGCCUUUGCGGUGCGCUGGUGCAGCUCAAGCAUGACACAUGAGGUUAUUCCCCCAAAUUCUUUGAGCCUUUUUCUAGGGAAUGACAACACAUGUUGCGGUCAAAGUGUCAAACCCGCACAUCUGCUCAGCUGUCAUCCGUCAGAUGCCCAAGGAGACUCGGCCUGGAAUGCUCUCCGCCGCCUCUCGCGAGAUGUGUGUAUGUGUGUCUGUUUUGGCAGACAGCGCUGUAGUGCACAGACUCCACUGCUGAUAUGAAGGCAGGCCCCUCACUCUCUCAUCGGCAACA